GGGAGUACGCCGGCAACGGUGAAACUCAAAGGAAUUGACGGGGGCCCGCACAAGCGGAGGAACAUGUGGUUUAAUUCGAUGAUACGCGAGGAACCUUACCCGGGCUCAAACGACACAGGAACGGCCCUGAAAGGGGUCGGCUCUACGGAGCCUGUGUCGAGGUGCUGCAUGAUUGUCGUCAGCUCGUGCCGUGAGGUGUCGGCUUAAGUGCCAUAACGAGCGCAACCCCCAUCGACAGUUGCUAACAGGUUAGGCUGAGGACUCUGUCGAGACUGCCGGCGCAAGCUGCGAGGAAGGCGGGGAUGACGUCAAAUCAGCACGGCCCUUACGUCCGGGGCGACACACGUGUUACAAUGGCAGGUACAGCGGGAAGCCACCUGGCGACAGGGAGCGGAACCCGAAAGCCUGUCUCAGUUCGGAUUGGAGUCUGCAACCCGACUCCAUGAAGCUGGAUUCGCUAGUAAUCGCGCAUCAGCCACGGCGCGGUGAAUACGUUCCCGGGCCUUGUACACACCGCCCGUCAAGCCAUGGAAGCCGGGGGUGCCUGAAGUGCGCUGCCGCAAGGAGCGCCCUAGGGUAAAACCGGUGACUGGGGCUAAGUCGUAACAAGGUAACCGU
Molecule: ribosomal RNA, 618 nt
Filed under: uncultured bacterium
Lineage: Bacteria
Description: bacterial SSU rRNA
Rfam family: Bacterial small subunit ribosomal RNA
Source: RNAcentral